This 384-nucleotide ribosomal RNA is filed under the name Burkholderia sp. FES16. RNAcentral's name for it is "bacterial SSU rRNA". It matches the Rfam family "Bacterial small subunit ribosomal RNA", at positions 967 to 1355 of the family's 1533-position model. Lineage: Bacteria; Pseudomonadati; Pseudomonadota; Betaproteobacteria; Burkholderiales; Burkholderiaceae. The record is from RNAcentral.
AACCUUACCUACCCUUGACAUGGUCGGAAUCCCGAAGAGAUUCGGGAGUGCUCGAAAGAGAACCGGCGCACAGGUGCUGCAUGGCUGUCGUCAGCUCGUGUCGUGAGAUGUUGGGUUAAGUCCCGCAACGAGCGCAACCCUUGUCCUUAGUUGCUACGCAAGAGCACUCUAAGGAGACUGCCGGUGACAAACCGGAGGAAGGUGGGGAUGACGUCAAGUCCUCAUGGCCCUUAUGGGUAGGGCUUCACACGUCAUACAAUGGUCGGAACUUGAGGGUUGCCAACCCGCGAGGGGGAGCUAAUCCCAGAAAACCGAUCGUAUCCGGAUUGCACUCUGCAACUCGAGUGCAUGAAGCUGGAAUCGCUAGUAAUCGCGGAUCAGCAU